UACGUAGGGUCCAAGCGUUGUCCGGAUUUAUUGGGCGUAAAGAGCUCGUAGGCGGCUCAGUAAGUCGGAUGUGAAAACUCGGGGCUCAACCCCGAGACGCCAUCCGAUACUGCUGUGGCUUGAGUCUGGUAGGGGAACACGGAAUUCCUGGUGUAGCGGUGAAAUGCGCAGAUAUCAGGAGGAACACCGAUGGCGAAGGCAGGUCUCUGGGCAUUAACUGACGCUGAGGAGCGAAAGCAUGGGGAGCGAACAGG
RNAcentral lists this ribosomal RNA (254 nucleotides) under uncultured bacterium. Its description in RNAcentral is "partial 16S ribosomal RNA". It matches the Rfam family "Bacterial small subunit ribosomal RNA", at positions 524 to 776 of the family's 1533-position model. The record is from RNAcentral.